UUUAAAUGUAAAAUAAAUUUACUAAAGUAGUAUUAGUUAUGUUCUUGAAAUUUAAAGAUUUUGGCGGUAUUUUAGUCUAUUUAGAGGAGCCUGUUCUAUGAUUGAUAUUCCACGAUUUAUUUUACUUAAUUUACAUAAAUUUGUAUACCGUCGUUAUAAGAGAAUUUUAAAAGAAUAUAAAUUUUUAAUAUUUUAUAUAAAAAAAUAUAUCAGAUCAAGGUGCAGUUUAUAGUUAAGGAGAAAUGGGCUACAAUAAAUAUAUUUAUUAUACGGAUUAAAGUAAGAAUAUGACUUUAUGAAGGUGGAUUUAAUAGUAAUAAAAUUUAUUUAAAUUUUAUGAUUUUAGCUCUAAAAUAUG
RNAcentral lists this ribosomal RNA (358 nucleotides) under Carabus latreilleanus latreilleanus. RNAcentral's name for it is "partial 12S ribosomal RNA". The record is from RNAcentral. Lineage: Eukaryota; Metazoa; Arthropoda; Insecta; Coleoptera; Carabidae.